UGGUGGGAAGCUCCGCAGCCCGCUGGAGCGCACAGUUCAUCUUCUUGGACUGGCCCGCGGUGAUGGUGAGUUCGAAUACCGGCGAACCCGUCCCCAUCAGCAGUUUAGGAGGAGACUCUUGGGCUCAACACGCCACCUGAGGCCUCACCUUUGUGGCUUUCGGUCCCUGAAACGUCGAGGCAGUACCAGGCCCAGGACAACCCAGGAAAGGACUCCGUCUCCAACUAUAGUAUGCCCCCUCAAAAAAUAACCCAGCUGAAGACACUAUAUUAAGAAAGAAGCAGUUUAUUAUACAAAAUGCAACCUGAGAUAAUAGAAAGGAGCAACACUUCCAGAAAUUUAAGCGUCUCACAACCUAACCCUCAAUCGCACCAACGGUAGGAGUCGAGGAUAGAAGAAGACAUUGGUCUCAGCCACAUCCAUGGAGGUAACCAGCUGUCGAACAUAGGCACGGUCAUCAGUAGUGACUUCAGCUCCAGGCUGCAGGACAUCACUCUUCAACACACAGUUCAGCCAGAACUUACCAGUGCUCGUCCUGACCCGCAUCACAGCAUCAAAGCCAACAACCUUCUGUACAUCACGACGUAAGUCACUGAGGAACCGCUCCUGAUCGUUCUCCACCUG
This is a long non-coding RNA of Tupaia belangeri chinensis (Chinese tree shrew), 624 nucleotides long. RefSeq lists it as uncharacterized. NCBI's taxonomy places the organism in Eukaryota, Metazoa, Chordata, Mammalia, Scandentia, Tupaiidae. The transcript has 4 exons. The record is from RefSeq and is a predicted model, not a curated record.